This 1133-nucleotide ribosomal RNA is filed under the name Rhodotorula mucilaginosa. RNAcentral's name for it is "eukaryotic LSU rRNA". The stretch from base 533 to 1133 matches the Rfam family "Eukaryotic large subunit ribosomal RNA", at positions 1 to 617 of the family's 3401-position model. Lineage: Eukaryota; Fungi; Basidiomycota; Microbotryomycetes; Sporidiobolales; Sporidiobolaceae. The record is from RNAcentral.
UUAGUGAAUAUAGGACGUCCAACUUAACUUGGAGUCCGAACUCUCACUUUCUAACCCUGUGCACUUGUUUGGGAUAGUAACUCUCGCAAGAGAGCGAACUCCUAUUCACUUAUAAACACAAAGUCUAUGAAUGUAUUAAAUUUUAUAACAAAAUAAAACUUUCAACAACGGAUCUCUUGGCUCUCGCAUCGAUGAAGAACGCAGCGAAAUGCGAUAAGUAAUGUGAAUUGCAGAAUUCAGUGAAUCAUCGAAUCUUUGAACGCACCUUGCGCUCCAUGGUAUUCCGUGGAGCAUGCCUGUUUGAGUGUCAUGAAUACUUCAACCCUCCUCUUUCUUAAUGAUUGAAGAGGUGUUUGGUUUCUGAGCGCUGCUGGCCUUUACGGUCUAGCUCGUUCGUAAUGCAUUAGCAUCCGCAAUCGAACUUCGGAUUGACUUGGCGUAAUAGACUAUUCGCUGAGGAAUUCUAGUCUUCGGAUUAGAGCCGGGUUGGGUUAAAGGAAGCUUCUAAUCAGAAUGUCUACAUUUUAAGAUUAGAUCUCAAAUCAGGUAGGACUACCCGCUGAACUUAAGCAUAUCAAUAAGCGGAGGAAAAGAAACUAACAAGGAUUCCCCUAGUAGCGGCGAGCGAAGCGGGAAGAGCUCAAAUUUAUAAUCUGGCACCUUCGGUGUCCGAGUUGUAAUCUCUAGAAAUGUUUUCCGCGUUGGACCGCACACAAGUCUGUUGGAAUACAGCGGCAUAGUGGUGAGACCCCCGUAUAUGGUGCGGACGCCCAGCGCUUUGUGAUACAUUUUCGAAGAGUCGAGUUGUUUGGGAAUGCAGCUCAAAUUGGGUGGUAAAUUCCAUCUAAAGCUAAAUAUUGGCGAGAGACCGAUAGCGAACAAGUACCGUGAGGGAAAGAUGAAAAGCACUUUGGAAAGAGAGUUAACAGUACGUGAAAUUGUUGGAAGGGAAACGCUUGAAGUCAGACUUGCUUGCCGAGCAAUCGGUUUGCAGGCCAGCAUCAGUUUUCCGGGAUGGAUAAUGGUAGAGAGAAGGUAGCAGUUUCGGCUGUGUUAUAGCUCUCUGCUGGAUACAUCUUGGGGGACUGAGGAACGCAGUGUGCCUUUGGCGGGGGUUUCGACCUCUUCACACU